ACCUAGAUAAGAUUACUCUUCAAAAAUAGUUAAGGGUUCUUCUAGUUUUGCGGCUGAAGAGGACCUUUAUUGGUCCUAGAACGGCCUGAGGUAGAAGGGUUUUAGUCGGUAGGUCCGAGGUCUUCUUCCUUGGGAAUCCGACACUACGCAGUCAUACGGACGGCUGGGUGUCUUUUGAAGAUUUCCCUUCUUCCACGAAA
Molecule: non-coding RNA, 200 nt
Organism: Agrilus planipennis (emerald ash borer)
Lineage: Eukaryota; Metazoa; Arthropoda; Insecta; Coleoptera; Buprestidae
Source: Rfam